UGGCUUUCGGGCCCGAGUUGUAAUUUGUAGAGGAUGAUUUUGGCGCGGUGCCUUCCGAGUUCCCUGGAACGGGACGCCUUAGAGGGUGAGAGCCCCGUACGGUUGGACACCAAGCCUCUGUAAAUCUCCUUCGACGAGUCGAGUAGUUUGGGAAUGCUGCUCUAAAUGGGAGGUAAAUUCCUUCUAAAGCUAAAUACCGGCCAGAGACCGAUAGCGCACAAGUAGAGUGAUCGAAAGAUGAAAAGCACUUUGAAAAGAGGGUUAAAUAGCACGUGAAAUUGUUGAAAGGGAAGCAUUUACUACCAGACCUUCUCCUGGCGGAUCAUGCGGUGUUCUCACCGCUGCACUUCGCCUGGUUUAGGCCAGCAUCGGUUUUCGUAGGGGGAUAAAAGCUUUAGGAACGUAGCUCCCUCGGGAGUGUUAUAGCCUUUUGCAUAAUACCCUUACGGGGACCGAGGACCGCGCUUUUGCAAGGAUGCUGGCAUAAUGGUAGUCAAUGACCCGUCUUGAAACACGGACCAAGGAGUCGAACAUUUGUGCGAGUGUUUGGGUGUUAAACCCUCACGCGUAAUGAAAGUGAACGUAGGUGAGAGCCCUUACGGGUGCAUCAUCGACCGAUCUUGAUGUCUUCGGAUGGAUUUGAGUAAGAGCAUAACUGUUCGGACCCGAAAGAUGGUGAACUAUGCGUGGAUAGGGUGAAGCCAGAGGAAACUCUGGUGGAGGCUCGCAGCGGUUCUGACGUGCAAAUCGAUCGUCAAAUCUGCGCAUGGGGGGCGAAAGACUUAUCGAACCAUUAAACCAGCGGUAAAUUUACUUACUAGGUGGUUAAGAGGC
RNAcentral lists this ribosomal RNA (834 nucleotides) under Muscodor sp. Its description in RNAcentral is "partial large subunit ribosomal RNA". It matches the Rfam family "Eukaryotic large subunit ribosomal RNA", at positions 123 to 990 of the family's 3401-position model. The record is from RNAcentral. Lineage: Eukaryota; Fungi; Ascomycota; Sordariomycetes; Xylariales.